Non-coding RNA from Odocoileus virginianus texanus, 422 nucleotides. Lineage: Eukaryota; Metazoa; Chordata; Mammalia; Artiodactyla; Cervidae. The record is from RefSeq and is a predicted model, not a curated record.
AGAAGACACGGGUUGUACUGACCAUGCCAGGUGACCGAGGAUUGACUGAGUUACUGAGGUCUCUCAAAUCACAUUUCAUAGCUAUGCUCAGAGAGCCCACGGCCUACCCACCCUUUUGAUGUUUUCACUGAUCCCACUUCCUGCUACAGAUGAGCUCAGCAGACUCUGCAUGUAGACAUGAGGAAAAAUCAUUCAACACACCUGAAAAAUUCAUUGAGGCCAGGCCAUCAAUGAGAGGCUUUAGGUGUUACUUCUAGCAACUUGCAAACAACUUUAAUUGCAGUGAGACCUCCAGGCUGGACCAAGAAGGGGAUUCCCUUACAACACACAUGAAAGCAUCUGGCCGGAAUGAGACAGUACAGUUUCCAAAGCUCCAAAUGAAUUAGUGGCUGAAGAAGCUGAUUCAGCAAUUGCAUUCCCAG